AUUGAACGCUGGCGGCAGGCCUAACACAUGCAAGUCGAGCGGAUGAAGGGAGCUUGCUCCUGGAUUCAGCGGCGGACGGGUGAGUAAUGCCUAGGAAUCUGCCUGGUAGUGGGGGAUAACGUCCGGAAACGGGCGCUAAUACCGCAUACGUCCUGAGGGAGAAAGUGGGGGAUCUUCGGACCUCACGCUAUCAGAUGAGCCUAGGUCGGAUUAGCUAGUUGGUGGGGUAAAGGCCUACCAAGGCGACGAUCCGUAACUGGUCUGAGAGGAUGAUCAGUCACACUGGAACUGAGACACGGUCCAGACUCCGACGGGAGGCAGCAGUGGGGAAUAUUGGACAAAGGGCGAAAGCCUGAUCCAGCCAUGCCGCGUGUGUGAAGAAGGUCUUCGGAUUGUAAAGCACUUUAAGUUGGGAGGAAGGGCAGUAAGUUAAUACCUUGCUGUUUUGACGUUACCAACAGAAUAAGCACCGGCUAACUUCGUG
RNAcentral lists this ribosomal RNA (484 nucleotides) under uncultured bacterium. Its description in RNAcentral is "partial 16S ribosomal RNA". It matches the Rfam family "Bacterial small subunit ribosomal RNA", at positions 30 to 507 of the family's 1533-position model. The record is from RNAcentral.